UACGAAGGGGGCUAGCGUUGUUCGGAAUCACUGGGCGUAAAGGGCGCGUAGGCGGCUUGAUAAGUCGGGGGUGAAAGCCUGUGGCUCAACCACAGAAUUGCCUUCGAUACUGUCGAGCUUGUGACCGGAAGAGGUAAGUGGAACUGCGAGUGUAGAGGUGAAAUUCGUAGAUAUUCGCAAGAACACCAGUGGCGAAGGCGGCUUACUGGUCCGGUUCUGACGCUGAGGCGCGAAAGCGUGGGGAGCAAACAGG
This 253-nucleotide ribosomal RNA is filed under the name uncultured bacterium. Its description in RNAcentral is "partial 16S ribosomal RNA". It matches the Rfam family "Bacterial small subunit ribosomal RNA", at positions 524 to 776 of the family's 1533-position model. The record is from RNAcentral.